GACGAACGCUGGCGGCGUGCUUAACACAUGCAAGUCGAACGGAAAGGCCCUGCUUUUGUGGGGUGCUCGAGUGGCGAACGGGUGAGUAACACGUGAGUAACCUGCCCUUGACUUUGGGAUAACUUCAGGAAACUGGGGCUAAUACCGGAUAGGAGCUCCUGCUGCAUGGUGGGGGUUGGAAAGUUUCGGCGGUUGGGGAUGGACUCGCGGCUUAUCAGCUUGUUGGUGGGGUAGUGGCUUACCAAGGCUUUGACGGGUAGCCGGCCUGUGAGGGUGACCGGCCCCAUUGGGACUGAGAUACGGCCCAGACUCCUACGGGAGGCAGCAGUGGGGAAUAUUGCACAAUGGGCGGAAGCCUGAUGCAGCAACGCCGCGUGCGGGAUAACGGCCUUCGGGUUGUAAACCGCUUUCGCCUGUGACGAAGCGUGAGUGACGGUAAUGGGUAAAGAAGCACCGGCUAACUACGUG
RNAcentral lists this ribosomal RNA (468 nucleotides) under uncultured bacterium. Its description in RNAcentral is "partial 16S ribosomal RNA". It matches the Rfam family "Bacterial small subunit ribosomal RNA", at positions 28 to 507 of the family's 1533-position model. The record is from RNAcentral.